Molecule: ribosomal RNA, 275 nt
Filed under: uncultured bacterium
Lineage: Bacteria
Description: partial 16S ribosomal RNA
Rfam family: Bacterial small subunit ribosomal RNA
Source: RNAcentral
CGUCCCGCCGGCGACCGGCGCACGGGUGAGUAACACGUAUGCAACCUGGCCGCCACAGGGGGAUAACCCGCGGAAACGCGGCCUAAUACCCCGUGACGCCACCGGAGGGCAUCCUCCGGUGGCCAAAGGAGCGAUCCGGUGGCGGAUGGGCAUGCGGCGCAUUAGCUAGACGGCGGGGUGACGACCCACCGUGGCGACGAUGCGUAGGGGUUCUGAGAGGAAGGCCCCCCACACUGGGACUGAGACACGGCCCAGACUCCUACGGAAGGCAGCAG